AACGAACGCUGGCGGCAUGCCUAACACAUGCCAGUCGAACGAGACCUUCGGGUCUAGUGGCGCACGGGUGCGUAACGCGUGGGAACCUGCCCUUAGGUUCGGAAUAACUCCCCGAAAGGGGUGCUAAUACCGGAUAAUGUCUUCGGACCAAAGAUUUAUCGCCUUUUGAUGGGCCCGCGUUGGAUUAGCUAGUUGGUAGGGUAAAAGCCUACCAAGGCGACGAUCCAUAGCUGGUCUGAGAGGAUGAUCAGCCACACUGGGACUGAGACACGGCCCAGACUCCUACGGGAGGCAGCAGUGGGGAAUAUUGGACAAUGGGCGAAAGCCUGAUCCAGCAAUGCCGCGUGAGUGAUGAAGGCCUUAGGGUUGUAAAGCUCUUUUACCCGGGAUGAUAAUGACAGUACCGGGAGAAUAAGCUCCGGCUAACUCCGUG
RNAcentral lists this ribosomal RNA (433 nucleotides) under uncultured bacterium. RNAcentral describes it as "partial 16S ribosomal RNA". It matches the Rfam family "Bacterial small subunit ribosomal RNA", at positions 29 to 507 of the family's 1533-position model. The record is from RNAcentral.